RNAcentral lists this ribosomal RNA (301 nucleotides) under uncultured bacterium. Its description in RNAcentral is "partial 16S ribosomal RNA". It matches the Rfam family "Bacterial small subunit ribosomal RNA", at positions 509 to 807 of the family's 1533-position model. The record is from RNAcentral.
CAGCAGCCGCGGGAAUACGGAGGGUGCAAGCGUUAAUCGGAAUUACUGGGCGUAAAGCGCACGCAGGCGGUUUGUUAAGUCAGAUGUGAAAUCCCCGAGCUUAACUUGGGAACUGCAUUUGAAACUGGCAAGCUAGAGUCUUGUAGAGGGGGGUAGAAUUCCAGGUGUAGCGGUGGAAUGCGUAGAGAUCUGGAGGAAUACCGGUGGCGAAGGCGGCCCCCUGGACAAAGACUGACGCUCAGGUGCGAAAGCGUGGGGAGCAAACAGGAUUAGAUACCCCUGUAGUCCCUGUCUCUUAUAC